Beta vulgaris subsp. vulgaris (sugar beet) is the source of this 119-nucleotide non-coding RNA. Lineage: Eukaryota; Viridiplantae; Streptophyta; Magnoliopsida; Caryophyllales; Amaranthaceae. The record is from Rfam.
GGGUGCGACGAUACUAGCUCUAAUGCAUCGGAUCUCAUCAGAACUCUGCAGUUAAGCGUGCUUGGGUGAGAGUAGUACUAGGAUGGGUGACCUCUUGGGAAGUCCUCGAGUUGCAUCCC